RNAcentral lists this microRNA precursor (76 nucleotides) under Schistosoma margrebowiei. Its description in RNAcentral is "mir-3492 microRNA precursor family". It matches the Rfam family "mir-3492 microRNA precursor family". Lineage: Eukaryota; Metazoa; Platyhelminthes; Trematoda; Strigeidida; Schistosomatidae. The record is from Rfam by way of RNAcentral.
AACUUUCUGGAUCCGUGAAGAUUUCGUCUGACACCAAACCACUGGGGCUGAUCAGACUUCCAGGAUAAAUAAAUUU